CCUACGUGAGGCAGCAGUGGGGAAUAUUGCACAAUGGGGGAAACCCUGAUGCAGCGACGCCGCGUGAGUGACGAAGUAAUUCGUUAUGUAAAGCUCUAUCAGCAGGGAAGAAAAUGACGGUACCUGAGUAAGAAGCCCCGGCUAACUACGUGCCAGCAGCCGCGGUAAUACGUAGGGGGCAAGCGUUAUCCGGAUUUACUGGGUGUAAAGGGAGCGUAGACGGCAGUGCAAGUCUGGAGUGAAAGGCGGGGGCUCAAACUCCGGACUGCUCUGGAAACUGUACGGCUGGAGUGCAGGAGAGGUAAGUGGAAUUCCUAGUGUAGCGGUGAAAUGCGUAGAUAUUAGGGGAACACCAGUGGCGAAGGCGGCUUACUGGACUGUAACUGACGUUGAGGCUCGAAAGCGUGGGGAGCAAACAGGAUUAGAUACCCCAGUAGUC
This 439-nucleotide ribosomal RNA is filed under the name uncultured bacterium. RNAcentral's name for it is "partial 16S ribosomal RNA". It matches the Rfam family "Bacterial small subunit ribosomal RNA", at positions 338 to 795 of the family's 1533-position model. The record is from RNAcentral.